AUUGAACGCUGGCGGCAUGCCUUACACAUGCAAGUCGAACGGCAGCACGGGAGCAAUCCUGGUGGCGAGUGGCGAACGGGUGAGUAAAGUAUCGGAACGUGCCCAGUCGUGGGGGAUAACGUAGCGAAAGUUACGCUAAUACCGCAUACGAUCUAUGGAUGAAAGCGGGGGAUCGCAAGACCUCGCGCGAUUGGAGCGGCCGAUAUCAGAUUAGGUAGUUGGUGGGGUAAAGGCUCACCAAGCCGACGAUCUGUAGCUGGUCUGAGAGGACGACCAGCAACACUGGGGAUGUGACACGGCCCAGACUCCUACGGGAGGAAGCAGUGGGGAAUUUUGGACAAGGGGCGAAAGCCUGAUCCAGCCAUGCCGCGUGCAGGAUGAAGGCCUUCGGGUUGUAAACUGCUUUUGUACGGAACGAAAAGGUUUGGGCUAAUAAGCUGAGCUCAUGACGGUACCGUAAGAAUAAGCACCGGCUAACUACGUGCCAGCCGCCGCCGUAA
Molecule: ribosomal RNA, 500 nt
Filed under: uncultured bacterium
Lineage: Bacteria
Description: partial 16S ribosomal RNA
Rfam family: Bacterial small subunit ribosomal RNA
Source: RNAcentral